GACGAACGCUGGCGGCGUGCUUAACACAUGCAAGUCGAACGGUGAACUCCGCUUGCGGGGGGAUCAGUGGCGAACGGGUGAGUAACACGUGGGCAACCUGCCCUCAGCUCUGGGAUAACUCCAAGAAAUUGGGGCUAAUACCGGAUAUGACCGCUGACCGCAUGGUCUGGUGGUGGAAAGAUUUAUCGGCUGGGGAUGGGCCCGCGGCCUAUCAGCUUGUUGGUGGGGUAGUGGCCUACCAAGGCGACGACGGGUAGCCGGCCUGAGAGGGUGACCGGCCACAGUGGGAAAGAAAAAGGGCCGAGACUCCGGCGGGAGGAGGGAGGGGGAGUGGUUGCGGAGGGGGCGAAGGCCGAGCGCAGCGAGCCCGGGGGGGGGAUGACGGCUUUCGGUUUGUAACCCUUUUGCAGCGGGAAGGAAGGAAAAGGAAGGGGACGUAAAAGAAAAACCCCGGCAAACUACGUC
RNAcentral lists this ribosomal RNA (465 nucleotides) under uncultured bacterium. Its description in RNAcentral is "partial 16S ribosomal RNA". It matches the Rfam family "Bacterial small subunit ribosomal RNA", at positions 28 to 507 of the family's 1533-position model. The record is from RNAcentral.